AAGACUAUAGUCAAUAUUUUAUGACAUAUGAGUUGCAUUCAUAAAGAGUUUAUAGUAUAAACUAGUUUUA
Molecule: transfer RNA, 70 nt
Filed under: Pilumnus vespertilio
Lineage: Eukaryota; Metazoa; Arthropoda; Malacostraca; Decapoda; Pilumnidae
Description: tRNA-Ala
Source: RNAcentral